This 758-nucleotide long non-coding RNA is filed under the name Phoenix dactylifera (date palm). RNAcentral describes it as "long non-coding RNA (PDAC_LNC013304)". Lineage: Eukaryota; Viridiplantae; Streptophyta; Magnoliopsida; Arecales; Arecaceae. The record is from RNAcentral.
UUUCAGGUUUGGUUUGAAUUUCAAAUCUCCUUUACUUUAUCUCUAACGGCUAUAUUUGCUUUUUGGGCUAUAAAAGGGAGCUCUUAAGUGGUUCUCUACAACUCUUCACCAACCCAAAGCAAAAUCAUUCAAGAGAGAAGAAAGAAAAAGAGGUUCAAGGGAGUUAGUGCAUUCAAGUGAAGAAAUCAAGUGCUUUGAAGCUUCCCAAGUGAUUUCAAGCUCAACUACUCUCUUCCGCUCGUGCAUUCAAAGCUCACACUCAAACCUACGCGAUCCACAUCGGAAGAAUCACCAUUUCCCACGCUUCCAACGGCAAAAGGAUUCUUCCGGGUUCUAUUAUUUAUCAUUGUCAUAUUUGCUUAUUUAGAGCUUUCCAAUUGUUUGUAAAACUCUUUUAACAUUGUGCUUGUUCCAGUCAAGGGACUUGGAACAAGGGAAAGGCGUCCCAAGCCUAGGUUAAAUUGGGGGUUUUAGGGUUUGUUGUGAGCCCGGUGUAAAACAACGAGUUGGGUAGUGAACUCGCAAAACUAUCGUACUGUAAUCGUGGAUUAUAGUGAAAAUUCCCAAAGGUGCUUUGGGGAGUGGAUGUAGGAGCAGUGGAGGCUCCGAACCACUAUAAAAGCCUGUGUUUGCGAUUGGUUGUCUUCAUAGCUUUAUUCUUGCUUUAGCUCUUAUAUUUGUGUUUUACUUUUAAAUAGUCAAAAAGUUUUUAAAACACCCAAUUCACCCCCCUCUUGGGUGACCAUCUCUGGGCAACA